RNAcentral lists this ribosomal RNA (755 nucleotides) under uncultured bacterium. RNAcentral describes it as "bacterial SSU rRNA". It matches the Rfam family "Bacterial small subunit ribosomal RNA", at positions 28 to 777 of the family's 1533-position model. The record is from RNAcentral.
GAUGAACGCUAGCUACAGGCUUAACACAUGCAAGUCGAGGGGCAGCAGGAUCUAGCAAUAGAUUGCUGGCGACCGGCGCACGGGUGAGUAACACGUAUCCAACCUGCCGAUAACUCGGGGAUAGCCUUUCGAAAGAAAGAUUAAUACCCGAUGGUAUAAUUAGACCGCAUGGUCUUGUUAUUAAAGAAUUUCGGUUAUCGAUGGGGAUGCGUUCCAUUAGGCAGUUGGUGAGGUAACGGCUCACCAAACCUUCGAUGGAUAGGGGUUCUGAGAGGAAGGUCCCCCACAUUGGAACUGAGACACGGUCCAAACUCCUACGGGAGGCAGCAGUGAGGAAUAUUGGUCAAUGGGCGCAGGCCUGAACCAGCCAAGUAGCGUGAAGGAUGACUGCCCUAUGGGUUGUAAACCUCUUUUAUAUGGGAACAAAGUUUUCCACGUGUGGAAUUUUGUAUGUACCAUAUGAAUAAGGAUCGGCUAACUCCGUGCCAGCAGCCGCGGUAAUACGGAGGAUCCGAGCGUUAUCCGGAUUUAUUGGGUUUAAAGGGAGCGUAGGUGGACAGUUAAGUCAGUUGUGAAAGUUUGCGGCUCAACCGUAAAAUUGCAGUUGAUACUGGCUGUCUUGAGUACAGUAGAGGUGGGCGGAAUUCGUGGUGUAGCGGUGAAAUGCUUAGAUAUCACGAAGAACUCCGAUUGCGAAGGCAGCUCACUGGACUGCAACUGACACUGAUGCUCGAAAGUGUGGGUAUCAAACCAGG